GUGGAUUAGAUACCCUAGUAGUCCACACUGUAAACGAUGGAUACUAGGUGUAGGGGAUAAUAAAUCUUCUGUGCCGCCGCUAACGCAAUAAGUAUCCCACCUGGGGAGUACGGCCGCAAGGUUGAAACUCAAAGGAAUUGACGGGGGCCCGCACAAGCAGUGGAGUAUGUGGUUUAAUUCGACGCAACGCGAAGAACCUUACCAGGGCUUGACAUAUAAGUGAAUAAUUAAGAGAUUAGUUAGUUCUUCGGAACACUUAUACAGGUGGUGCACGGUCGUCGCCAGCU
RNAcentral lists this ribosomal RNA (287 nucleotides) under uncultured bacterium. RNAcentral's name for it is "partial 16S ribosomal RNA". It matches the Rfam family "Bacterial small subunit ribosomal RNA", at positions 773 to 1060 of the family's 1533-position model. The record is from RNAcentral.